This 618-nucleotide long non-coding RNA is filed under the name Mus caroli (Ryukyu mouse). RNAcentral's name for it is "lncRNA (MGP_CAROLIEiJ_G0004540.1)". The record is from RNAcentral. Lineage: Eukaryota; Metazoa; Chordata; Mammalia; Rodentia; Muridae.
UCCAUGGCCUCUGCAUCAGCUCCUGCUCCCUGACCUGCUUGAGUUCCAGUCCUGACUUCUUUCAGUGAUGAACAGCAAUGUGGAAAUUUGUCUGAAAGUGAGCAGCUGGUUACACCAUGAAUUCCCCUCCACAGUGCUCUGCCUUACCAUAGACUCAUAAGUAACAGGACCCUUUCUGCCAUCUGGAUCAUCUACUUUCUGCUUCUUGACCAAGACACACACAUGAGCAAACAGGCUACUCUUCCAAGCCUGGGGAAUGUUAUCCUCUGCAUAAUAUCUGUGUUCACAGUGGAGGUUAACUCUUGUCUGACCACGUAUAUGCUACAAAGCUCAAAAGAGAAAGGAGGAUAUGGGGGAAGCUGAACUUGAAAGAAGGCAGAGGAAAUGGAAGGCCUACAAGUGCUGGGAUUAGAAGCAUGUACCACUACAACUGGCUUAUUCUUUAAAAUAUGGAUUCUAGCAAUUGGAUCAUGUCCUUGUUCUGGCAAAGUCAACACUUUACCAACUAUAUUAUCUCCCCAUCCCUGCAACUCAAUGAUUUUUAUAUAGUGUUUAAAAUAGGGAUACAAAUCAAAGAUAUUCUGAAAAUAAAUCAUAAAUAAAUGUAUUUUAAAAUAA